UCCGGCGCUCGGCACGUCCUUAGAGUCGGGUUGUUUGGGAAUGCAGCCCUAAGCGGGUGGUAAACUCCAUCCAAGGCUAAAUACUAGCACGAGUCCGAUAGCGAAGAAGUACCGCGAGGGAAAGUUGAAAAGAACUUUGAAGAGAGAGUUCAAGAGUACGUGAAACCGCUGAGAGGCAAACUGGUGGAGCUGAAAUGGCUUUUGGGAAUUCAGCCCUUCGCUCGGGCGAUGAUGCCGAUUGUCUCACGACUCCGUCGGUGUUUCUGUCUGAAUGAUAGGUGCACUUUCCUUAAGCCGGACCACGACCAGCGAGUUGUCUUGUCUGGUAUUGGUGGAAGGUAGCGUUGACCUCGGUGAACGUGUUAUAGCCACUGAUUCGGAGCGAGCGGCGCGUUGGAUUGAUGCCUGCCCUUUGGGCUCGUACGUUGUCUCUUAUCAGGGUGUCGCCGGCUUCACUGCUUCGGCAGGGGAGUUGGAGACGCUUUGGUUCGAGGCGGCCUCUGCGAUUGGCGUCUAAGUCAGUGGUUUCGAAGUAGGCAGUCCACCUGACCCGUCUUGAAACACGGACCAAGGAGUCUAACAUGUGCGCGAGUCAUUGGGCUCUACGAAACCUAAAGGCGCAGUGAAAGUGAAGAUCCAUUUGUUGGAUUGAGGUAGGAUCCUGGGUUACGUGCUCAGGCGCACUACCGGCCCGUCCGAUAUGUACGGGCGGAGCAAGAGCGUACACGUUGGGACCCGAAAGAUGGUGAACUAUGCUUGCGCAGGUCGAAGCCAGAGGAAACUCUGGUGGAGGACCGUAGCGAUUCUGACGUGCAAAUCGAUCGUCAAACGUGAGUAUAGGGGCGAAAGACUAAUCGAACCAUCUAGUAGCUGGUUCCCUCCGAAGUUUCCCUCAGGAUAGCUGGCACUCGGGAAAUGAAACAGUUUUAUCCGGUAAAGCGAAUGAUUAGAGGUA
Molecule: ribosomal RNA, 955 nt
Filed under: Paraplanocera sp. P37
Lineage: Eukaryota; Metazoa; Platyhelminthes; Polycladida; Planoceridae
Description: partial large subunit ribosomal RNA
Rfam family: Eukaryotic large subunit ribosomal RNA
Source: RNAcentral